GACGAACGCUGGCGGCGUGCCUAAUACAUGCAAGUAGAACGCUGAAGGAGGAGCUUGCUUCUCUGGAUGAGUUGCGAACGGGUGAGUAACGCGUAGGUAACCUGCCUGGUAGCGGGGGAUAACUAUUGGAAACGAUAGCUAAUACCGCAUAAUAGCAGUUAUUGCAUGAUAACUGUUUGAAAGGUGCAAUUGCACCACUACCAGAUGGACCUGCGUUGUAUUAGCUAGUUGGUGGGGUAACGGCUCACCAAGGCGACGAUACAUAGCCGACCUGGGAGGGGGAUCGGCCACACUGGGACUGAGACACGGCCCAGACUCCUACGGGAGGCAGCAGUAGGGAAUCUUCGGCAAUGGACGGAAGUCUGACCGAGCAACGCCGCGGGAGGGAAGAAGGUUUUCGGAUCGGAAAGAUCUGUUGUAAGAGAAGAACGAGUGUGAGAGUGGAAAGUUCACACUGUGACGGUAGCUGACCAGAAAGGGACGGCUAACUACGUG
Molecule: ribosomal RNA, 495 nt
Filed under: uncultured bacterium
Lineage: Bacteria
Description: partial 16S ribosomal RNA
Rfam family: Bacterial small subunit ribosomal RNA
Source: RNAcentral